UACAGAGGGUGCGAGCGUUGUUCGGAAUUAUUGGGCGUAAAGCGCUUGUAGGCGGCUUUUGCAAGUCGGGUGUGAAAAGCCCCUCAGCUCAACUGAGGAAGUGCGCCCGAAACUGCAGAGCUUGAGUACCGGAGAGGGUGGCGGAAUUCCCCCAAGUAGAGGUGAAAUUCGUAGAUAUGGGGGAGGAACACCGGUGGCGAAGGCGGCCACCUGGACGGUCACUGACGCUGAGACGCGAAAGCGUGGGGAGCAAACAGG
Molecule: ribosomal RNA, 258 nt
Filed under: uncultured bacterium
Lineage: Bacteria
Description: partial 16S ribosomal RNA
Rfam family: Bacterial small subunit ribosomal RNA
Source: RNAcentral